This 1422-nucleotide long non-coding RNA is filed under the name Oryzias javanicus (javanese ricefish). RNAcentral's name for it is "lncRNA (ENSOJAG00000011171.1)". The record is from RNAcentral. Lineage: Eukaryota; Metazoa; Chordata; Actinopteri; Beloniformes; Adrianichthyidae.
AAAAAACCUCUUAAAGAGACUCCUCUCCCUCGGAUGAAAAGGAGUAUGUUUCCUAUUGCUACCAAAUUCCCCAGGAAGGAUUUGGUUUGUGAGCUGUAGGAAACCAGUGAGAUUAGCAGCUUCCUGUAGCUGCAAGCUUCUGAACGACCAGUUUUCAUUGUGUAUGGGCUGGAAACACCAUGACUGAACCUGCACUCAGAGCCAAGCAAAAACCCACAGCUUCUUCUGCUUUGUUACUGAAACCCAGGAAUCCUGCAGAGGAAUCAGAACUCAGGAGCAGAAGCAGUUUAUUGCAGCAGAAUCCUCUGCAGCUCAUCGCUGCUGGAAAACUCACUCACAUCUUUAGCUUCAGGAUUCUGGACUUUGUGUUCUCCUUCUGCGUCAUGCUGUGAAAUCCAAACACUGUCUUUCCUAGUUUUUUCCUCAGGUUUCCAGCUCGAUAUGGAUCUACUGAUCCUGUGAGGCUUUUGUUGUGCUGCAGUCUGGAGGUUUGAGAGCUCUGAGGUUUUUGCACGAGGCUGCAGCACCGUGCUGCUCUCACGUUUGGAAAUCCAAUCAGGCUGACCGUCGUCCCUUCAGACAGUUCUCCUGUUCAACCCACACUGUUCAUCCUGCGCCCCCAGUUGAGACCCAAUGCACCCCCCACCCCAACAAGCUCCAAGUCUCCAGAAGUAUGCCUGGCACUUGACUUUCGUCCGACUGGAGGAUACAUGAGGCUGAAUGGGGAUAAGCCUUUGAGCACCAGCAAUGCCCCCGUGUCCACCAAGAGCAAAACGUACUUCUUUGCUGGUAUCAGUGAUGAACCCAUCAACACCUGCGAGAUGAAUGGAGUGAUCAAGCCCAAAAGUGACGUCGUCGAGGGCGAUAAACCAACCACAAAGUCUCCAACACGCAAGGUGGAUCCUACUGUUAAACCAACAAAAGCGACUGUUGUCCCACCCGUUGUGCGCUCGGAAGAUGUUUAUCCAAAGAGGAGCAGGCUGAACCUGUACAUGCUGGUGAUGAACGGCGUGCGCCUGCUGCUCACCAAAGCUCUGGCCUUCAGCACCGUCCUGACCGUCAAAGCACUGAUCUUCUGACCCCGCCCUCAGGAGAGCCAAGCCACGCCCUCUGUCAUUUAUUACAGUUUCUAUUAAAAAUCUUAUCUUUUUCAGAAAUAGAAAUGAUUGUAACUUUUCUUUCCUGCAAGCACAAAGAAGGAUAUUCUGUACAAUGACUGUAAUCUUGAAAACUUGCUUUUUUGCUCAUGUUUUCUUUUUUUUUUCUAACAUUUUUUUUAGACAUUCAUUUUUUGUAGUAUCUCUGUUUCCCUCACAUGAUAAACCAAUAUUUUAAUCCACUGGUUUUUGUCUUCAGGUUUUUUUGGUUGUCAUUUCUCAUUUCAUUUAGCAUCAACUAUAAAUAAACUUUUUCUGCGCUCAG